This 484-nucleotide ribosomal RNA is filed under the name uncultured bacterium. RNAcentral describes it as "partial 16S ribosomal RNA". It matches the Rfam family "Bacterial small subunit ribosomal RNA", at positions 30 to 507 of the family's 1533-position model. The record is from RNAcentral.
AUUGAACGCUGGCGGCAGGCCUAACACAUGCAAGUCGAGCGGAUGAAGGGAGCUUGCUCCUGGAUUCAGCGGCGGACGGGUGAGUAAUGCCUAGGAAUCUGCCUGGUAGUGGGGGAUAACGUCCGGAAACGGGCGCUAAUACCGCAUACGUCCUGAGGGAGAAAGUGGGGGUUCUUCGGACCUCACGCUAUCAGAUGAGCCUAGGUCGGAUUAGCUAGUUGGUGGGGUAAAGGCCUACCAAGGCGACGAUCCGUACCUGGUCUGAGAGGAUGAGCAGUCACCAUGGAACUGAGACACGGCCCAGACGCCUACGGGAGGCAGCAGUGGGGAAUAUUGGACAAUGGGCGAAAGCCUGAUCCAGCAAUGCCGCGUGUGUGAAGAAGGUCUUCGGAUUGUAAAGCACUUUAAGUUGGGAGGAAGGGCAGUAAGUUAAUACCUUGCUGUUAUGACGUUACCAACAGAAUAAGCACCGGCUAACUUCGUG